CCUACGGGAGGCAGCAGUGGGGAAUAUUGCACAAUGGGGGAAACCCUGAUGCAGCGAUGCCGCGUGGAGGAAGAAGGUCUUCGGAUUGUAAACCCCUUUUAUCAGGGACGAUAAUGACGGUACCGGAAGAAAAAGCUCCGGGUAACUACGUGCCAGCAGCCGCGGUAAUACGUAGGGAGCGAGCGUUAGCCGGAAUUACUGGGUGUAAAGGGAGCGUAGGCGGGACGGCAAGUCAGAUGUGAAAACUGCGGGCUCAACUUUCAGACUGCAUUUGAAACUGCUGGUCUUGAGUGAAGUAGAGGUAGGCGGAAUUCCUAGUGUAGCGGUGAAAUGCGUAGAUAUUAGGAGGAACACCGGUGGCGAAGGCGGCUGACUGGGCUUUUACUGACGCUGAGGCUCGAAAGCGUGGGGAGCAAACAGGAUUAGAUACCCUAGUAGUC
This 440-nucleotide ribosomal RNA is filed under the name uncultured bacterium. RNAcentral's name for it is "partial 16S ribosomal RNA". It matches the Rfam family "Bacterial small subunit ribosomal RNA", at positions 338 to 795 of the family's 1533-position model. The record is from RNAcentral.